This 333-nucleotide ribosomal RNA is filed under the name Triticum aestivum (bread wheat). RNAcentral's name for it is "partial small subunit ribosomal RNA". The record is from RNAcentral. Lineage: Eukaryota; Viridiplantae; Streptophyta; Magnoliopsida; Poales; Poaceae.
AUGGACGGCGCAAGCGUACAGCCCACAGCGCAACAAAAACGGGUUGGAAUCGAGCCGGGAUCCGAUCCACCCUGCCUCGCGCCCCGUCAUCACCCGCGCCGCGAAUGGCUCGCGCGGCCGGCCGCCCCAGCCCAACCACCGGGAUGCGAUGGCCCCUUUUCCUUUUCCCGGUGGAAACUGCGUCCCGUCGCCCGUCCUUGCGAUCUCGGGCCACGCGCGGCACAAUCAAGCGACGAUCAUUGCGGCGACCUACCGACCGGGUCCCAGAGACGAUUGGGGCGCGAGCGUCAACAGAGUCCUAAUCCCGGUCGUGCUGCUACUACCGCUAUCUAG